This 1477-nucleotide long non-coding RNA is filed under the name Sorghum bicolor (sorghum). Its description in RNAcentral is "long non-coding RNA (SBIC_LNC010424)". Lineage: Eukaryota; Viridiplantae; Streptophyta; Magnoliopsida; Poales; Poaceae. The record is from RNAcentral.
CACAACAACCCUUCAAACUUUCUUGUUUGAAAACCUAUCUAGUAGCAGGGCUAAGCAUCACUACGCAGUUUUUAAAAUAAAACAGGUGCCAAGGACAAGAUAACAAAUAGCAAGGUAGUAAAUGCAGCAAGUAGGUUAACCCAAUUCUCAAUUACCUAAUGCAGCAUUUUCAGUUCAUAAGUGAUAAAAGAUUUAAAACAUUCAAGGAGGGGUCGAUACAUCCGGGGCUUGCCUUGGUUGCAGGGCAGAGAGGGUCCCUCGGAGACUUCCCAAGUCUCGGGUCCUACUUCCUCGAACGGAGCACCGAUCUCGGGGUUCGGUUCAACGGGCGCUCCUUCGGUCACGUGCACUAUACGCAAAAUGAUGAAUGCUCAUGAUAUGCGUAUGACAAUUAUGCAAAAAGGACCAAGUUGAGUAUAACUAGCCUCCUCGGUGCAACACAGAAUAAACAAUAAUUAAAAUUGUUUAAUAGCUUAGUGUCUUUACCCAAGAGGUUGCACCAGUAAAUUAAGACUUCUCUUAAUUCAUAAUUAUUUUAAAAUAACUAAUUAUUAAUCCUAUUUACCUUAAUUAAUUCUUAAUUAAUUACUAAUGACAGUAAUUAAGCAUCAAGGCCAAACAAUAAUUAAAUGCCAAAGGUCAUUAGGGUUAAUGACCCCAGGUCAUCAUAUAAUCCCAAAAUCACUCAAACCCUAAUUUUGAGCAAUUACUAAUUAUUAUUUAAUUAUUCUAGAAUUAUUAUUUAAAUACUAAAUAAGGGUUUAUUAGUGUUUUAUCCAAACAUUAUCCAAAUGCCACCAAAUUUUGUGUGGAGCUAGGGAACCAUAUUCAGAGACUCCCCAUAAAUUUUGGUGAUUUUUGGAUAUAUCCAUAAAUUAUUAAAAUUCCUAGAAGUUUUAUUCAUUAAAUAAAAGAGGCAAUUCUUAAAUAUAUGCAAACUAUCAGAAAAUAAAAUCUACUAUUUUACCUGUGCUCUACUUAUUUCAUAGAACCUAUACACAAAUUUUCAUCAUUUUUGGAUUAGCACACAAUUUUCUACACAAUUUCAAAAAUCAAGCAUUUGUAAUCAAAAAAAGAAAAAGAAAAAGCAACACUGUGCUGCGCAGGCGGCCCGCUUGGUCACGGCCCAAGUCGGCCCGGGAGCUCUCCCGCGUCGCGCGCGGGCGCUGCCCUCCACACAUGGCCACUGACGGGCGGGUCCCGCCCGUCAGAGGCUUCUUCUUCCUCCCACCACCGCUCCGGUGAGCUCAGGCUCCGCGCCGGUGAGCUCCCGGCCUCCGCGGUGGGGUGGGCUAGCACCUCCGGCCUCUCGCGCAACCCCUGGGACACACGGGACAACCUCUACUCCCUCCUAACCCUCCCGCUCACGUCCAUGGCGGACGGCCGCCUCGGCCGAGCAAACGCCGGCCACCAUAAGCGAGUAGAGCGUGAAUUGAGUAGCGCAAAAGCAUCAGGAGCUCACCACGACUUCAACCGA